Molecule: ribosomal RNA, 485 nt
Filed under: uncultured bacterium
Lineage: Bacteria
Description: partial 16S ribosomal RNA
Rfam family: Bacterial small subunit ribosomal RNA
Source: RNAcentral
GACGAACGCUGGCGGCGUGCUUAACACAUGCAAGUCGAACGGUGAAAGCGGAGCUUGCUCCGCUGGAUCAGUGGCGAACGGGUGAGUAACACGUGGGCAACCCGCCCCUCACUUCGGGAUAACUCCGGGCAACCGGGGCGAAUAACGGAUCUGACCUCUGCGGCCAUCCGCGGAGGGGGACAGCUUUGCGGUGAAGGAUGGGCCCGCGGCCUAUCAGCUUGUUGGUGAGGUAGUGGCUCACCAAGGCGACGACGGGUAGCCGGCCUGUGAGGGCGACCGGCCAGACUGGGACCGAGACACGGCCCAGACUCCUACGGGAGGCAGCAGUGGGGAAUAUUGCGCAAUGGGCGAAAGCCUGACGCAGCAACGCCGCGUGCGGGAUGACGGCCUUCGGGUUGUAAACCGCUUUCAGCAGGGAAGAAGCCGCAAGGUGACGGUACCUGCAGAAGAAGCACCGGCUAACUACGUGCCAGCAGCCGCGGUAA